AGAGCGAACGCUGGCGGCAGGCUUAACACAUGCAAGUCGAGCGGGCGUAGCAAUACGUCAGCGGCAGACGGGUGAGUAACGCGUGGGAACGUACCUUUUGGUUCGGAACAACCCAGGGAAACUUGGGCUAAUACCGGAUAAGCCCUUACGGGGAAAGAUUUAUCGCCGAAAGAUCGGCCCGCGUCUGAUUAGCUAGUUGGUGAGGUAAUGGCUCACCAAGGCGACGAUCGGUAGCUGGUCUGAGAGGAUGACCAGCCUCACUGGGACUGAGACACGGCCCAGACUCCUACGGGAGGCAGCAGUGGGGAAUAUUGGACAAUGGGCGCAAGCCUGAUCCAGCCAUGCCGCGUGGGUGAUGAAGGCCCUAGGGUUGUAAAGCCCUUUCGGCGGGGAAGAUAAUGACGGUACCGCAGAAGAAGCCCCGGCUAACUUCGUGCCAGCAGCCGC
This 447-nucleotide ribosomal RNA is filed under the name uncultured bacterium. RNAcentral describes it as "SSU rRNA". It matches the Rfam family "Bacterial small subunit ribosomal RNA", at positions 26 to 518 of the family's 1533-position model. The record is from RNAcentral.